This 497-nucleotide ribosomal RNA is filed under the name uncultured bacterium. RNAcentral describes it as "partial 16S ribosomal RNA". It matches the Rfam family "Bacterial small subunit ribosomal RNA", at positions 28 to 507 of the family's 1533-position model. The record is from RNAcentral.
GAUGAACGCUGGCGGCGUGCCUAAUACAUGCAAGUCGAGCGAACAGACGAGGAGCUUGCUCCUCUGACGUUAGCGGCGGACGGGUGAGUAACACGUGGAUAACCUACCUAUAAGACUGGGAUAACUUCGGGAAACCGUAGCUAAUACCGGAUAACAUGUUGAACCGCAUGGUUCAACAGUGAAAGACGGUCUUUCUUGCACUUGUAGAUGGAUCCUCGCCGCAUUAGCUAGUUGGUAAGGUAACGGCUUACCAAGGCAACGAUGCGUAGCCGACCUGAGAGGGUGAACGGGCCCACUGGAACUGAGCGACGGUCCAGAGUCCUACGGGAGGCAGAAGUAGGGACUCUUCCGAAAUGGGCGAAAGACUGACGGAGCAACGACGCGUGAAUGCAGCAGGUCUUCGGAUCGUAAAACUCUGUUAUUAGGGAAGAACAAAUGUGUAAGUAAAUAUGCACGUAUUGACGGUACCUAAACAGAAAGCCACGGCUAACUACGUG